CAUUAGAUGGCUGAAUCGCAAGUACUGGUCUCUUAAACCAUCUAAUAGUAGCCCGCAACUACUUCUAAUGA
This 71-nucleotide transfer RNA is filed under the name Heterocerus fenestratus. Its description in RNAcentral is "tRNA-Lys". Lineage: Eukaryota; Metazoa; Arthropoda; Insecta; Coleoptera; Heteroceridae. The record is from RNAcentral.